GAUGGGUGGCCGAGCGGUUGAAGGCACCGGUCUUGAAAACCGGCAGGGGUUAAUAGCUCCUCGUGGGUUCGAAUCCCACCCCAUC
RNAcentral lists this transfer RNA (85 nucleotides) under marine eukaryotic metagenome. It matches the Rfam family "tRNA". From Rfam's summary of the family: Transfer RNA (tRNA) molecules are approximately 80 nucleotides in length. Their secondary structure includes four short double-helical elements and three loops (D, anti-codon, and T loops). The record is from RNAcentral.